GGCGUCAACUGGUAAAAAAAAAAAAACAUAUCCCUACACAAAAGGCUUUUAUCCCACAGAGCUUGUAAUCAGUCCAUAUGCUCCAGCCUAUGUAGCGAGAAAAAUAGAAUAAUAAUUAACUUCUAGUGGUUUCUCGAUUGCUGGAAGGCGGUUUCCGGUGCUGCUCGGUGGUUUUCAGGGCUGUUUUUUUAGGGUAUGGGGAGGAUGGGGGGUAGUCAGAUGACGUACUCGGUGAAUCCCGAUGACUAUAAGCUUCUAGAAGAGGUUGGCUAUGGUGCGAGUGCUACUGUGUAUAGAGCAAUCUAUCUUCCUUUCAACGAUGUCGUCGCCGUUAAGUGCUUGGAUCUCGAUCGGUGCAAUAGCAAUCUGGAUGACAUACGAAGGGAAGCACAGACCAUGCGUUUGAUAGACCAUCCAAAUGUGAUUAGGGCAUUUUGCUCAUUUGUUGUUGACCAAAAUCUUUGGGUGGUGAUGCCAUACAUGGAUCAGGGUUCUUGCUUGCAUCUAAUGAAGAUUGCCUAUCAGGAUGGGUUUGAAGAGGCUGCUAUUGGUUCCAUUCUGAAAGAAACUCUCAAGGCUUUGGAAUACCUGCAUCGACAAGGGCAUAUUCAUCGGGAUGUUAAGGCUGGAAACAUACUAUUGAAUGGAAAUGGCGAGGUAAAGCUUGCUGAUUUUGGUGUUUCAGCUUGCAUGUUUGAUAAAGGUGAUAGACAACGUGCUAGAAAUACUUUUGUGGGGACUCCAUGCUGGAUGGCACCAGAGGUUUUGCAGCCAGGAAGCGGAUAUAAUUCCAAGGCUGAUAUUUGGUCUUUCGGUAUAACAGCAUUGGAGUUGGCACAUGGUCAUGCUCCUUUCUCAAAAUACCCUCCAAUGAAGGUUCUUUUGAUGACCAUACAAAAUGCCCCUCCUGGACUUGAUUAUGAUCGUGAUAAAAAGUUCUCUAAGUCUUUUAAAGAAAUGGUUGCAAUGUGCCUGGUAAAAGAUCAAACAAAGAGGCCAACAGCUGAGAAGUUAUUAAAGCAUUCCUUUUUCAAGCAUGCAAAGCCUCCAGAGCUUUCUGUGAAAAAGUUAUUUGCAGAUUUGCCCUCUCUUUGGAAUCGUGUGAAAGCCCUUCAGCUUAAAGAUGCUGCACAGCUAGCUCUAAAGAAAAUGCCUUCAGCAGAACAAGAAGCUUUGUCCCAGAGUGAGUAUCAGAGAGGAGUUAGUGCUUGGAAUUUUGACCUAGAGGAUUUAAAAGCUCAAGCGUCACUUGUGCGAGAUGAUGAUGAUGAUAUGCCUGAGACAAGGGAAGAAGAUGAAUGCAUGAAACAAUUUGGUAGUGAUAAGUCUCUGUCUGAUGGUCAAUCCAGUUCUGUGAAACUGAACUCAAAUAGUGAAAUACAGCAAGUUGAGUGCAGAGCACGGACGGGUGCAGAUGAAUUGUCGCAUGCUGAGAGCUUGAUCAGAAAGGGCAAGCUCCUUGAAAGUGAUACUCUAGAAACUGGGAUCCAAGAGAAAUUUGGUUGGAAGAAAAAUGAUGCAACCAAUGAUGAAAAAGUAUCAACCUCUGAAAGGGACAUGACUCAGGAUAAGGCUAAAAUGGUGAAGGGCCGCCAAAGUCAGAGUGGGCCACUUGUGCCUGGUGCUGUACUUGGCCAUUCAUUGUCAGACAAGGGGCGUUUUUGGGAAAGGUCUGAGAAUGACAGUCAGCCAAUAACAGAGAAAACCACUCGUGAAGUUCGAAAAGCUCCAAGCUUUAGUGGUCCACUGAUGCUUCCAAACCGAGCUUCUGCAAACAGUUUAUCAGCUCCUAUAAAAUCUUCAGGAGGAUUUAGAGAUUCUUUGGAUGAGAAGUCAAAGGCUAAUCUAGUGCAAAUCAAGGGGCGAUUUUCAGUAACAUCAGAAAAUUUAGAUCUCGUAAAGGAUAUUCCAUUAAGUACAGUUCCACGUCGAUCUUCACAGGGAUCACCACUAAGAAAGUCUGCAAGUGUUGGUGAUUGGAUUUUUGAGUCCAAACAAACGGUUUGUCAUUGAACUCUUGAUCUCAAUGUAAUCUAGCUCUUGAUUUUAAAUAAAUUAUGGCCUCAUUUUUUUUCAACUAGCUUGAAGCUUUUAAUAAUAAAAAUGGUUUCGAAAACAAUAAAAGCAGUGCUUGGGUGUCUGGCUGCACGCAAUGCUGUAAGUGAGCAAGAUGUUGUAAUUCAGAUGCCCAUGCAUUCAUCAGUUUUACAGUUUGAUGUCAUUAUUUCUCAACAAUCAGCUAUCUCUUCCCCUCCCCCUUAGUUCACAUACACAUAUUUGGAGACAGGAAGGUGGAGCUUGUGUGCUGCAGAAUUCAUAGAUUCCUUUAUUAUGCUUGCCAUUGUAAUGAUUACCCAUUGCAGUUAUUUAUUCAAUGAAUAUCAUGUCCUUUUCUGUUUCUUCAGUCUACCAGUCAGUCUCCCAAGGAGAUCAGCAAUAGCAAUUUACCUGCAUCACUCCUUAUGCCUUACCUGCAGAACCUUUUUCAGCAGACCUCAAUUCAACAGGAUCUUAUUGUGAAUUUGUUCAAUAGCUUGCAACCAGCUGAAGCUGUAGAUGCAGUACAAAAUGGAAAGUUGCCACCAUUGCCUCGUGGUUCAGAGAAUAAUGGAAGUGUAAGUAUUUUAUUUUUCCUAUCAUGUUAUUUCCUCUCCCACUCCCUAUUUCUUCUCCUGAACGCGAAAAUAAGUCAUGAUAACCAAGUUAUUGAAUUUGACAUCUAGUGUUAAGAAAAACAACUUAUUGCAUGAUUACAUGUGUUUUCAUGAAUUUAUUUAAGCAUUUUUCUUGGGUCAUAGACCUUUUGAAGAGGAUAUCCUUUUCAAAAUACAAUGUUUUGUCAUAAUGGUAUUUUACUAUGCUAGUGGAUUUAGCUAAGGACGGUCAGAUAUUCAUUUCACUUGUGUGGAUACCAUUUUUAUAUUGUGGACUGGUGUCUUUUUGAAAAACUUUGUCUUUGAUUUUUCUUCUCCACAGAAAUUGACAUUCUCAGGUCAUGAUUUGAUUAUUUGAGAUGGUUUAAUUAUAUUCACUGCAGAUUUCAUUUUUUUAAAUGAGAUAUUAUGGUAAAACUUUUGUUUCUUUUUUAAAUUUAUUUUUUCCGUCCUAAUCGCCAAAUAAAUAAAUAAUUGUUCAUUGGUAAUGAUUUAAUUGAUGGAAGAAUGUGGUGUGAAAUAGUAAUUUCGUUGAGUGAUUUAUUAUAGAUGGAAUGUAUAGUGUCUGAUAUGUCAAUGAUACAGGUUGAAGCGGCACCUUCUGAGAGGGAACGAUUGUUGUUGAUGAAAAUUUCUGAGCUUCAAGCUAGGUUGAUCAUUUUGGUGAUCUGUCUUUUUCUUUAGCUAUUUUAACAUAUCAGUUUGUCUAAUGCUCUCAUUUCAUUUUUUCAGGAUGAUCAAUUUGACUGAUGAACUUAAUUCUGAAAGGCUGAAAUAUGUGCAGGUGAGCUGUUUAAGAGGUUUAUUUUUUUUACUCUUUUUGCCUUGCCUCACUUAUAAUCUUAUGCAUUGAUGAUUCAUGUCAGUGGUGUUGACGUUUAAUAGGAUUCACCCCAACUCCCCAGAUUGUUGAACUUGAAAUAUAUUAUGUACCUGUAUACAGAGGAAUUAUUUUAUGGAUAUUUUACCAUUGUCCACAGUUGCAGCAGCAGCUGAAAUCCAUACCUGGUCAGGAAGAAAAUGGAGAAAGAAGGGAACUGGAUGUCUGAAAGCUGAAAUGCUUAUUGCUGUAAAGUGAAACCAUCAUGUAAAUUCAGGGAGGAGAUGAACAUCAUGCAGAUACAUCAUCCUUUUUUCUUGGCUGGACUGCAAUUCUGUUAUACAUAUUUCCUUGCAGAUUCCAUUCGCCACAAUGACAACUAAGCAAACUUUACAGCUACAUCAGAAUGCAUUUUCAUUCAGUUUAUCAAAUUCAAGUGGAAUUAAGCUCCUCCUUGCACUGUGUGAAAUAGUAUCCAAAAACAUUUUUUUUUUAACCCGCAUUGUGAAGCAGUUGCCAUGAGAGAGUACAAAGCUUCGAGUGUUCAAAUCUACAUCUUCUCUUUAUAGUGUUUAUUCAAGUGUAUUAUUCUGUUCAUAGCGACCUGAUCUUGUAUAUGUUGUUGGUAGAACCUAGUGCUGUUUCUUUUUCGUAUUUAUUUAUAAAGUUGCGCUAGUUCCAAGUAUGUAGCAACGGUUUGGAAUUUUGCAGCUCUUUGAAAAUGGUAAUAAACGAAGUCAUCAAUCUAUGAUUCUGUAGCUCAUGAAUUAUGAAUUAUGGUCGUCGACUGGUUUGCUG
Molecule: unclassified non-coding RNA, 4272 nt
Filed under: Hevea brasiliensis (rubber tree)
Lineage: Eukaryota; Viridiplantae; Streptophyta; Magnoliopsida; Malpighiales; Euphorbiaceae
Source: RNAcentral